UGCUAAUGUUGAUGCAGUGCUUCCAAAACACAUCCAGGAAUACUUGCCUGAGGAGGAAAAGAAGAAAACAGAGCCGGUGGAAGAGAAAAAAAGAAAACGUCAAACCGUGCCAGCACCCAAAGUGAAAACUGAGAGAGAAAAGGAGACACAGAAGAGCCAGGAAUCCAGUUCCUCUGAGCAAUCACCAGUCUUCUCCCUGACUGGCUGGGAGGUGGGGGAGUCCAGCAGCAACUUCAUGGAGACGAUGACGGACAAUUGAGAAGAUGCUGGGGAAGAGCCACCCACAGUCCAUGAGGAAGACCCUGUUCCCCCUAAGCGAAGCCUUUCCCCACGGACACACCGGGCCCUGCAGGAGGUGGUGACGUGCAUUCUGAGGCAGGUCGCCCGCAAGCGCAGGGGGCAGAGGGAUGAGCAGGCAGAUCUGCAGGACAAGCUCAAGUGCGAGCUGGCAGUGCUGCAGUGGCGUCGUUCGGGGAGAGAGGCACGCAGCAGCCAGCUGUGGGAAGCUGGAGCCCAACCUGCACCCACUGCUUGGCCAGGGAAGAGGAGGGCAGGAGCGAUACGUCUGCGUGUGCACAGAGGAGGAGGAGAAACGCAAGCUCUGGGACUCGUUGCGCAAGAAGUGCCAGAAGGCAAGGGCGAAAGUGGCAACUGCGAAGGCUUGGAAAGAAAAGCGAGAGCAAUGGGAGGUCCAGGGUCCUGCAUUCAUGGCAUUCCCGAGCGGUGGGGAGACACCAGGAGAGGAUGAGGAAAGCCCAGAGGACAAGCUGAGUCUUUGCCUUUUGGAGUACUCAUCUCUGCAAAGGGAGCGGAUGUGUUGCACAACGGUGAGUUCCAUGAAAGCCUCUAAGGCACAGAGGCUCCCAAGAUUGACGUCAAGCAAAAGCCUCUUCCAGGAUCAGAAGCAGCAGUGCCGGCCAGCGAGGAUGUUACCAGCACUGCUUCCGUCUGAUCAAGAAGGACCUAUACGCAAACCACUGUGUCUGACACUGUGGGUCUUGGUGGCUGUGAAAUAUGCACUCAGUGGUGGGUGAGCUUUGGUGGAGCAAGGAAAGGCCACUGCAGGACAGAGGAGUUUCAGUCCUAUUCCAAGGGCAGGCCUCUGCCAAGGCUUUGCUAUAGCAUGUCGGCUGCAGCCCUGCUCUUGGUGGCCCAUGCACCUUCUGGUCUGUGGCAGUGUGCCCUGCCAUGGCUGCAGAGCUCUGCUGUGGAGGGUGGAGACGAGAGGAGGGAGGAGGAGGAAGAGGAGAAGGAAGUGUAGUGCUGGGCAGCCAGGGCAACAGAGCUGCCAGGGAAGCAGCCGGGGGCUUGUACAGCCAAGGCACUGCAGGGCAUGGAGGCCAGCUCUGUCAGAGGUGCACAGAGCAGUGCCACGGGGACAACGAAAGCCUAGGCAGGAACCGUGCCUGGGGAGAGGGAAGCUAUGGGGGGCAGCUUUUCGGUUGGGUGGCUUGGCUCUGCCAAAGCUCUGCUCAGGUUCCUGAGCAGAGUUUUGUUCAACACUUCCUGGUUCGAAGGAGGAGGGAGCUGAGGUGAGAUGGGGACACUCCUGAAAACUCCUCUCCAGACACCUGGGGGGACAUAAUGCAUGCCACUGGGGGCCUGAGAGCAGGCUGUGCAGGAGGAGGGAAGGAAGCCCAAAACUGUUGGCUGUUGGGCAUCCACACCCUGCCCAGGCUCUGUGGGGUGGUGGCAGCAAUGCUUCCCGAGCCCAGGCAGAUUUAACAGCACCGCAUGACAUAGGGUCAGUCUGUUCAUCCUCUGUGGACUAUUUUUUCCUGAAAAGCCCUGAUCUUGUGGAGCUCCAUCUUGGCCUACUUAGGAGAUACUCUAAUGGCAUGGCUAAAGUGGGGACGGUGUCCAGACAGAGCUCUCAUCUUCUGCAAACUGCAGAGAAACAGCAUCACACCACUGCUACAAGUCCUUGGCACAGGCAGAACUGACUAAAUCAACUGCAGGUGUGGAAAGUCACAAAGAAAGGAAAAACCUUCAUGGGGUGCGGAAGUCACAGCUUCCUCUCUCCAGUGAGAGGAGCAGCUUCGUUUCAUUUUCUUUCUUUUUUCCUCUCUUAAAGGACACAAAAGUCCUUCCAGCUGCUAUGUCUGGAACAGAGACACCAACAGAGACACCUCCCAAGGAAAGGCCCUGUGUUGAACCACCCUCGGGAAGGAUAAAGUGUGUGUGAAGGGGGGGCUGUAGAGUAUGAUGUUUACAAGGGGAAACCCUUCUCAAACCUAUUUCUCCUCCUAUUUCUCCUGAACAGAGCACUUCCCUCUUUACCAACCAGGUGCACUUUGAAAUAUCAGAGCCUUUGCCAUGCUCUGCCCCCAGUCUGGCACAGGUCUAGCCCACAGCACACACACACCCCCUCUUUGUUGUACAACAGCGGCUGCCGCAGGCUGAGUGGUCAGAAGGAGGUGAAGGUGGCAGAAGGUUCACACGGCCCUGGAGAUGUCUUUUGGUGACGCUUCCUUCCCAGGGAGCCAGGACUUAGUGAAUGGGCUCUCCUUCAGAGAUGGGUCAUGUUAACACGAAGCCGAGCACACAGGAGAGGGUGUGAGUGCAAGACCCAAGACAGAAAGCGCCAGUGAGGGGAGGUCAGGCUGUACCCCUUGCUCCUGCUGAUGGCAUGCUGCUCUGGCUGCAGGGCCCAUGCUCCUGCUGGAUAGCAUCACACCAGCAGCCCAGGGUACUUUUGGGACAUCAUUUCUGAGCUGCUGUGUUUGGCCUGUCCUCACUGCAGCUCCUUGGAGCAGAGCCCAGCUUGCCCUAGGUUGCAGCUGAAUGGGCGCAUAAGGCACAGAAGCUGGGCUGGGCUGUUGGCCACUUCUGGGAUCUUUCUUUUGGGACUAGCAGCAACUUUGCCUGCCAAUUCCCAAAGACCCUUUUUAUCUCUCCCAUACACGUGCCGGGCUCACUCAGCUGAUGGGGGUACUAUGGGUCUGUAGGCAGAGGGCUGGGUGCCCCACAGGGGUGCAGGGGUCUCUGGGAGUGCCAAGACACCUUGCUGCCUUUUCCUCAGUGUCCCCUUGCAGCUGAUGUGAGCUGUGCUUCAAAACGUCCUGCAGGCUGGGAGUAGCAGCAGGAGUCCUGCAAGGGAGCAGCAGUGGUUGGUGGGGUUUGCGUAACAGUCACGUCCAGUGUGUCCAUGUGACAGCUGCCGGAAGGUCUUCAGCUCUCAAAAAGCAGGUCCUGCAUUCGGAAGCCAAAAUAUGCAUCAGCUCCCGAACUCCAUCAGCUCAGCUUGCUUAUCAGAUAGGUCAUUGCUCCUCCUUGAACUUUUGUUCUGAAAUUAAGCUUCUUGACACCUAGUAACCAUGGGAAACACCCAGCAAUGCUCGUACCCACUUACAGGUUGGUCUCAUCGACCUAACCCAGCGCCAGCAGCUGGGUUUAGAAGCUCCAUUUCAUUUCUCACAUCACAAGAUGAGGAACGGGGAAGCAGGAAGAAACAUGUGAACUAAGUGGUUUCCAGCAAGGCACUGUCUCUAAAGCAGUUUUCAUAUAGUACACUUGUGAUCAGGAAAUUAGCCUCCAUGACAAAAGAGUUUGGUGGUUCUGCGUAAGAAGCAGCUAUUUGGCCAUAGGCAGAGCAGAAUCCAAACAGCCCUGGAGGUACCAUGCUUUUAGUAUUACUGUAGGGAUGACCCAGGGCAGAGGUUCUCUCUCUCCGCUGUCCUUUCCAGCACGUUUGUGUAGUCUUGCCCUGAAAUUGCCACUGCUCGAAGCAGAGGCAAAGUGGAGGAAAACUAGUGAACUAAUAAUAAUAAAGAGUUGUAAUAACACUAACUGUUGUUCAACCACACAGCUGUGUUUGGACAGGGGAAGCAAGUACCCAGAAGCAGAGGGUGCUGUAAAGCGGCACCCUGUGCCCUGGCCCAGGAAUCAAACACGAGGAAGGCAGAUGUGAACGCAGACUCUUUAUUUUAAGUAGGGAUAUGAAAAGAGGGGAUGGGGGGAUGCGUUGGGGGGGGGGGGGGGGGUGGAAUUUUAUACUGACAGUUAAAAAAUGCUAGUGAUAGCAUAAUGAUAGUAAAAUUAUGGUAAAAACAAUACUAGAACAACAAUAGUACAACAAAGUAGUACAAAGGUUUAAUUACAAAUAGUAUAAAGGUUUAACAACAAUAGUAGAACAAUAUUAGAACAACAAAAGAACAAUAAAACAACAAAAGAACAACAGUAUAACAAGAAUAUUAAAACAAGUGAAGAACACACGUAGAACAAUAAAAUCUCCGAUGAAUAUCACAGCCGACGACGUUUUGCUGCUGGAGGUCCAAACGGCCACUUGGCAUCGGAGCGGUCCUCCUCCUGGGGGAAGAACAAAAAACCAAAGAGAACAGGUUUAGUCACAUCCAUGUAGAUCAUAUUUCAGAAGGAAGGAGAUGCUGUAACACUCAAAUCUAAAAAUAAAGUGUGAUUCCAUUAAA
RNAcentral lists this long non-coding RNA (4427 nucleotides) under Strigops habroptila (Kakapo). RNAcentral's name for it is "lncRNA (ENSSHBG00005013510.1)". The record is from RNAcentral. Lineage: Eukaryota; Metazoa; Chordata; Aves; Psittaciformes; Psittacidae.